GGCGGAAUUGGCAGACGCGCUGGACUCAAAAUCCAGUGAUCGUUGAGAUCGUGUGGGUUCGAACCCCACC
RNAcentral lists this transfer RNA (70 nucleotides) under Lentilactobacillus parabuchneri. RNAcentral describes it as "Lactobacillus parabuchneri tRNA-Leu". It matches the Rfam family "tRNA", at positions 9 to 64 of the family's 71-position model. Rfam says of the family: Transfer RNA (tRNA) molecules are approximately 80 nucleotides in length. Their secondary structure includes four short double-helical elements and three loops (D, anti-codon, and T loops). The record is from RNAcentral. Lineage: Bacteria; Bacillati; Bacillota; Bacilli; Lactobacillales; Lactobacillaceae.